CGGGGGAGGCCGGAUCCUGGGCUGUGUCCCGGCGCCCUGUGCUCGGGGGCCUGUGCUGUUGGAUUCGCGCUCCCGGGCCGCGCAGCCCCCU
Non-coding RNA from Canis lupus familiaris (dog), 91 nucleotides. Lineage: Eukaryota; Metazoa; Chordata; Mammalia; Carnivora; Canidae. The record is from Rfam.